This 85-nucleotide transfer RNA is filed under the name Candidatus Bathyarchaeota archaeon. Its description in RNAcentral is "tRNA-Leu". It matches the Rfam family "tRNA". From Rfam's summary of the family: Transfer RNA (tRNA) molecules are approximately 80 nucleotides in length. Their secondary structure includes four short double-helical elements and three loops (D, anti-codon, and T loops). Further hydrogen bonds mediate the characteristic L-shaped molecular structure. tRNAs have two regions of fundamental functional importance: the anti-codon, which is responsible for specific mRNA codon recognition, and the 3' end, to which the tRNAs corresponding amino acid is attached (by aminoacyl-tRNA synthetases). tRNAs cope with the degeneracy of the genetic code in two manners: having more than one tRNA (with a specific anti-codon) for a particular amino acid; and 'wobble' base-pairing, i.e. permitting non-standard base-pairing at the 3rd anti-codon position. The record is from RNAcentral. Lineage: Archaea; Thermoproteati; Candidatus Bathyarchaeota.
GCGGGGAUGGCAGAGCUAGGCCAAAUGCGCAGGACUCAAGAUCCCGUGCCUUAGGGCUACGUGGGUUCAAAUCCCACUCCCCGCA